RNAcentral lists this non-coding RNA (213 nucleotides) under Turicibacter sanguinis. Its description in RNAcentral is "T-box sequence". It matches the Rfam family "T-box leader". Rfam says of the family: Uncharged tRNA acts as the effector for transcription antitermination of genes in the T-box leader family. T-boxes are found upstream of many aminoacyl-tRNA synthetase genes and some amino acid biosynthetic genes usually in Gram-positive bacteria. The record is from RNAcentral. Lineage: Bacteria; Bacillati; Bacillota; Erysipelotrichia; Erysipelotrichales; Turicibacteraceae.
AAAUAAUCAAUGAUCAAGAGAGUAGAAGUAGAGCAUAUCUAACAGCGAGUAGGGGGAUGAGAGCCUAAAAGUGAUUCUAUUUUGAAGCGCACUUGUGAGAGUUUAUCUGAACUAAGAGUAGGAUAAGACGCCUACCUGCGUUAAGGGUUAGAGGGAAACAUAUUUUGUUAUAUGUUUAACUGGAGUGGUACCGCGGUCUUAAUCGUCUCUAGA